UACGUAGGGCGCAAGCGUUGUCCGGAAUUAUUGGGCGUAAAGAGCUCGUAGGCGGCCUGUUACGUCUGCUGUGAAAUCCCAGGGCUUAACCCCGGGCGUGCAGUGGAUACGGGCAGGCUGGAGGCAGGCAGGGGAGAACGGAAUUCCCGGUGUAGCGGUGAAAUGCGCAGAUAUCGGGAGGAACACCGGUGGCGAAGGCGGUUCUCUGGGCCUGUACUGACGCUGAGGAGCGAAAGCGUGGGGAGCGAACAGG
Molecule: ribosomal RNA, 253 nt
Filed under: uncultured bacterium
Lineage: Bacteria
Description: partial 16S ribosomal RNA
Rfam family: Bacterial small subunit ribosomal RNA
Source: RNAcentral